Molecule: ribosomal RNA, 445 nt
Filed under: uncultured Methanomicrobiales archaeon
Lineage: Archaea; Methanobacteriati; Methanobacteriota; Methanomicrobia; Methanomicrobiales
Description: bacterial SSU rRNA
Rfam family: Archaeal small subunit ribosomal RNA
Source: RNAcentral
UGCGGUUUAAUCGGACUCAACGCCGGGAAACUCAACCAGAUUAAGACAGCUGAAUGAUAGUCGGGCUGAAGACUCUACUUGACUAGCUGAGAGGAGGUGCAUGGCCGUCGUCAGUUCGUACUGUGAAGCAUCCUGUUAAGUCAGGCAACGAGCGAGACCCACGCCAACAGUUGCCAGCUCGUCCUCCGGGAUGGUGGGGACACUGUUGGGACCGCUCUGCUAAAGAGGAGGAAGGGAAUGGGCAACGGUAGGUCAGCAUGCCCCGAAUUAUCUGGGCUACACGCGGGCUACAAUGGGUGGGACAAUGGGUAUCGACACCGAAAGGUGAAGGCAAUCUUCUAAACCCAUCCGUAGUUCGGAUUGUGGGCUGCAACUCGCCCACAUGAAGCUGGAAUCUGUAGUAAUCGUGUCUCAAAAUGGCACGGUGAAUAUGUCCCUGCUCCUU